CUCAGUAUAUCUCAAUAGUAGAGUACUUCUUUAGAAUGCACAAUGUUUUGGGUUCUAUUCCCAGUACUGAAA
This 72-nucleotide transfer RNA is filed under the name Mus musculus (house mouse). It matches the Rfam family "tRNA". Rfam says of the family: Transfer RNA (tRNA) molecules are approximately 80 nucleotides in length. RNAcentral also lists the same sequence under 1 other name. The record is from Rfam by way of RNAcentral. Lineage: Eukaryota; Metazoa; Chordata; Mammalia; Rodentia; Muridae.